AUCUAUGGCCAUACCAGUCUGAAAAUGCCUGAUCUCGUCAGAUUUCAGAAGCUAUCCAGACUCAGGCCUGGUUAGUACUUGUAUGGGAGACCAACUAGGAACCUCCAUUUCAUUCAGC
RNAcentral lists this ribosomal RNA (118 nucleotides) under Pelobates cultripes (western spadefoot toad). The record is from RNAcentral. Lineage: Eukaryota; Metazoa; Chordata; Amphibia; Anura; Pelobatidae.